This 770-nucleotide long non-coding RNA is filed under the name Marmota monax (woodchuck). The record is from RNAcentral. Lineage: Eukaryota; Metazoa; Chordata; Mammalia; Rodentia; Sciuridae.
CGAUGCAGCAGCAGUGGGCUUUGCAUGUUCUCAGGGUUAGUGUAGGGCACAGUGUGGUCAGGGCCACGGGGCAGCAGCUGGACCCCCAGGUCCUACAAUUCCUGUUGUGCUUCUCUUUCAACUUCCCCGCAUCCCAGGCCAGCAUGGACAGCUCUUCAACAGCGCUGGCUUCUCGGGAGGUCACCUGAGAAGUUCAAAGUGAGAUUCUUGCUUGCUCUGUGGAUUCCACCUCAUCCUUGAUCUUCACAUCUGGUUUCCUGCCUGAGUGUUGGCCUCUCUGACCAGAGGCUCAGCAUUAGAUGUCAGAGAACAGCUUUGCAGAGAUGGUUAAAUCAUAACCUGCAAUCGGGUAAUGGUAAGCCUGCAUAUGGAUCUCUUCACCGCUAUUUCUUCUCUCAAUCCCUCACAAGGCUUUAUUAAGUCACAUACAUAUAACGGAAAGGUUUUAUUUUUUCCCCCCUCCUGAGGAUCAUAUCAUUACCACGACCACUCCUGCUUGUCAAAAACGAGACAGUAAUGCUGGGAAGAGAAUCCCUCCAGACUCCCCUGAUGAACUGAAGACUGCUUUGUAUUUGGUUAUUUGGGGGGCAUCUUGUGUCUCCCUUCUAAGGCACUCAUGCACUUUUUAAGGUGUUAAAAUAACCUUUAAUAAAAUGAUUACGACAGAAGAUGGCAUUUGUCCUCUUAUACACAUGGCAAAAUACAAUGUUCCCCCCUUUUUAAAAAUUCUAAUUUGUUAUGACAGAAUGCAUUACAAUUCACAUUAUAGA